Molecule: small nucleolar RNA, 164 nt
Filed under: Eremothecium cymbalariae DBVPG#7215
Lineage: Eukaryota; Fungi; Ascomycota; Saccharomycetes; Saccharomycetales; Saccharomycetaceae
Description: Small nucleolar RNA snR8
Rfam family: Small nucleolar RNA snR8
Source: Rfam by way of RNAcentral
GUGAUACGAAAUAUAUAUGCCUUCUAUUCACUGUGCCAUCUUGUGUAGUAGAUGAUCAGAGGGGAAAAGAAGAGCUAGAUUGAUAUUCGCAAACGUCCUCAUACUGAAUAGGGUAAUUAACUUUUUUGGAGGCUCUAAUUGGUAACUGCGUGAGCGAUACAUUC